RNAcentral lists this ribosomal RNA (464 nucleotides) under Vreelandella stevensii. RNAcentral's name for it is "partial 16S ribosomal RNA". It matches the Rfam family "Bacterial small subunit ribosomal RNA", at positions 339 to 795 of the family's 1533-position model. The record is from RNAcentral. Lineage: Bacteria; Pseudomonadati; Pseudomonadota; Gammaproteobacteria; Oceanospirillales; Halomonadaceae.
CUACGGGAGGCUGCAGUGGGGAAUAUUGGACAAUGGGCGAAAGCCUGAUCCAGCCAUGCCGCGUGUGUGAAGAAGGCCUUCGGGUUGUAAAGCACUUUCAGUGGGGAAGAAAGCCUUGGGGCUAAUACCCUCGAGGAAGGACAUCACCCACAGAAGAAGCACCGGCUAACUCCGUGCCAGCAGCCGCGGUAAUACGGAGGGUGCGAGCGUUAAUCGGAAUUACUGGGCGUAAAGCGCGCGUAGGCGGUCUGAUAAGCCGGUUGUGAAAGCCCCGGGCUCAACCUGGGAACGGCAUCCGGAACUGUCAGGCUAGAGUGCAGGAGAGGAAGGUAGAAUUCCCGGUGUAGCGGUGAAAUGCGUAGAGAUCGGGAGGAAUACCAGUGGCGAAGGCGGUCUUCUGGACUGACACUGACGCUGAGGUGCGAAAGCGUGGGUAGCAAACAGGAUUAGAUACCCGUGUAGUC